AGAGUUUGAUCCUGGCUCAGGACGAACGCUGGCGGCGCGCCUAACACAUGCAAGUCGAACGGUUAAAGCACCUUCGGGUGUGUAUAAAGUGGCGAACGGCUGAGUAACACGUGGGCAACCUGCCUCUUGCUCUGGGAUAGCCUCGGGAAACCGAGGAUAAUACCGGAUACUCCGUACCUUUCGCAUGGAGGGGACGGGAAAGCGCAUACGGCAAGAGAUGGGCCCGCGGCCUGUUAGCUUGUUGGUGGGGUAACGGCCUACCAAGGCAAUGAUGGGUAGCUGGGUUGAGAGACCGACCAGCCAGAUUGGGACUGAGACACGGCCCAGACUCCUACGGGAGGCAGCAGUGGGGAAUCUUGCACAAUGGGCGAAAGCCUGAUGCAGCGACGCCGCGUGCGGGAUGAAGGCCCUAUGGGUUGUAAACCGCUUUCAGCAGGGAAGAGGCCGCAAGGUGACGGUACCUGCAGAAGAAGCCCCGGCUAACUACGUGCCAGCAGCCGCGGUAAUACGUAGGGGGCAAGCGUUAUCCGGAUUCAUUGGGCGUAAAGCGCUCGUAGGCGGCUUGUUAGGUCGGGAGUCAAAUCCCGGGGCUCAACCCCGGCACGCUUCCGAUACCGGCAGGCUUGAGUUUGGUAGGGGAAAGUGGAAUUCCAAGUGUAGCGGUGGAAUGCGCAGAUAUUUGGAAGAACACCAGUGGCGAAGGCGGCUUUCUGGGCCAUAACUGACGCUGAGGAGCGAAAGCUAGGGGAGCAAACAGGAUUAGAUACCCUGGUAGUCCUAGCCGUAAACGAUGGACACUAGGUGUGGGGGAAUAUUUCUUCCGUGCCGCAGCUAACGCAUUAAGUGUCCCGCCUGGGGGAGUACGGCCGCCAAGGCUAAAACUUCAAAUGAAAUUGACGGG
This 901-nucleotide ribosomal RNA is filed under the name uncultured bacterium. Its description in RNAcentral is "bacterial SSU rRNA". It matches the Rfam family "Bacterial small subunit ribosomal RNA", at positions 8 to 917 of the family's 1533-position model. The record is from RNAcentral.